CAUCAGCGGAGUUCCUAAUUUUGCUUUCUGCUAUGACAGGACAGCACUGAGCUCAAUGCCUCACUUCAAUUGCUGUGCUUUCCCUCUCCCAAGUAGUCAGAUUCUCUCUGCCCACCCCUCAGCCUCUGCUAGGGGAUGGGGAGGUGGUGUUGGUGAUUCCAGACUGUUUUUCUUACCCCUUCAGUGCCUCUUUCAGUGAUACGAAGUUAAAACCAGGGUCUUGCUCUGUUGCUCUCUAGGAGUAGUGGUGCGAUCUUGGCUCAUUGCAAGCUCCACCUGCUGGGCUCAAGCCAUCCUCCAAAUGCAGCCUCCUGAGUAGCUGGGACUACAGCACACAGGUCAGCCUUGGUCUCCUCCGGGGAACCAUCUCGGACUGCCUUUCCUCUUCAUUAUGGCUUCCAUCCUACCUUGUGUGUCAUGGAAGGGACACUCCUACCCUGGUGCCCGUACUGGGUUCCUGUGUCUUACCCAGAGACGGUAAGUAGGCUGUAUGUGUGAUACCCUUCGGAGCUCCCAACGUUGGCCAACACGAUAAGGUGUAUGACACGGAUUAGGUGCCCAGUGAUCCCCAGCGGGGUGGAUGUGCUGAGCUUUGAAUGAGGGGCAUACUCAAGUAGGAAGUGGGAGCUGAACCGAGUGCUCCUGGCGGGGUAUCAGUGGGGUUCAGGGCUCACGGUGCAUGGGAGUUCCUGGUUGUACUAGUCAAUGCCUAAUCCCAUGCCUUCCAUCUGUAUUUCGACUGCAGGCAGCUGUGGUAAUGGUAAGGAAUGAACCAGCAGAGGAAUGCCUCCGUGAACUAAACACACCCACACGACAGAACACCAGGUGAAAGCCCCUGCUGCCACCUGCUGGCAAGGUACCCUCAGCUCCUGUCCUGACAAGAGAGUAACUUCUACACCCCUACACAACAGACUGAGCCACACCUCUGUGCCUCUGCACGUUCU
Long non-coding RNA from Callithrix jacchus (white-tufted-ear marmoset), 944 nucleotides. RefSeq lists it as uncharacterized. The record is from RefSeq and is a predicted model, not a curated record. NCBI's taxonomy places the organism in Eukaryota, Metazoa, Chordata, Mammalia, Primates, Cebidae.